UACGGAGGGUGCAAGCGUUGCUCGGAAUUAUUGGGCGUAAAGGGUAGGUAGGUGGUCUCAUUUGUCUGGGGUGAAAGCCUUGAGCUUAACUCAAGAAGUGCCCCAGAAACGGUGAGACUGGAGACCUGGAGAGGGUCGUGGAAUUCCCGGUGUAGCGGUGAAAUGCGUAGAGAUCGGGAGGAACACCAGAGGCGAAAGCGGCGACCUGGACAGGUACUGACACUCAACUACGAAAGCGUGGGGAGCAAACAGG
This 253-nucleotide ribosomal RNA is filed under the name uncultured bacterium. RNAcentral's name for it is "partial 16S ribosomal RNA". It matches the Rfam family "Bacterial small subunit ribosomal RNA", at positions 524 to 776 of the family's 1533-position model. The record is from RNAcentral.